AUUGAACGCUGGCGGCAGGCUUAACACAUGCAAGUCGAGCGAGCGGCGGAAGGGUGAGUAAUGUCUGGGAACCUGCCUGCUGGGGGGGGAUAACUACUGGAAACGGUAGCUAAUACCGCAUACCAUCAGAUGUGCCAAGAUGGGAUUAGCUAGUAGGUGGGGUAAUGGCUCACCUAGGCGACGAUCCCUAGCUGGUCUGAGAGGAUGACCAGCAACACUGGAACUGAGACACGGUCCAGACUCCUACGGGAGGCAGAAGUGGGGAAUAUUGCACAAUGGGCGCAAGCCUGAUGCAGCCAUGCCGCGGGUGUGAAGAAGGCGUUCGGGUUGUAAAGCACUUUCAGCGAGGAGGCGUUACUCGCAGAAGAAGCACCGGCUAACUCCGUGCCAGCAGCCGCGGUAAUAC
Molecule: ribosomal RNA, 406 nt
Filed under: uncultured bacterium
Lineage: Bacteria
Description: partial 16S ribosomal RNA
Rfam family: Bacterial small subunit ribosomal RNA
Source: RNAcentral